This 406-nucleotide ribosomal RNA is filed under the name uncultured bacterium. RNAcentral's name for it is "partial 16S ribosomal RNA". It matches the Rfam family "Bacterial small subunit ribosomal RNA", at positions 30 to 526 of the family's 1533-position model. The record is from RNAcentral.
AUUGAACGCUGGCGGCAGGCUUAACACAUGCAAGUCGAACGAGUGGCGGACGGGUGAGUAAUGCUUGGGAAUCUACCUUAUGGAGGGGGAUAACUACGGGAAACGGUAGCUAAUACCGCAUACCAUCGGAUGUGCCCAGAUGGGAUUAGCUAGUAGGUGGGGUAACGGCUCACCAAGGCGACGAUCCCUAGCUGGUCUGAGAGGAUGACCAGCCACACUGGAACUGAUACACGGUCCAGACUCCUACGGGAGGCAGCAGUGGGGAAUAUUGCGCAAUGGGGGCAACCCUGACGCAGCCAUGCCGCGUGAAUGAAGAAGGCCUUCGGGUUGUAAAGUUCUUUCGGUAGCGAGGCGUUAACUACAGAAGAAGCACCGGCUAACUCCGUGCCAGCAGCCGCGGUAAUAC